GUGAAAGUUGCCUUAAAAUCUCUCCUUGAAAUACAACAAAGUUUGAUACUUUUAACCUCUGUGAGAUUCCCAACACAUUUUGUUGAAAUGAUUUAUUUACUUAUGUGUCAUAUUGUUGUCUUUAUUUGAAGAAUUCAGCGUGAAGCCUACCACAUACCAUAUGACUAAUAAUUGUGUCUUGAAUGAAUAUUUGAACAAAUGAAUAAAUCAGUCAAACUGGGUCCCUGGACCAUGCAGAGAACAACUGUCCCUUCCUCUUUGGUGGUUUCCUCACAACUCUUGAGGUGCUCCUUGUCUGUGGCACAGAGGUGCAGACCAAGUCACUGGGACAUGGCCAAUGGAAUGUUUCCACGGCAACAGUGGCAGCAAUUCAGGACACUGCGCCAGAGGAGUAAAAUUCCUGUCUAGCUCAGCAGUUCUAAAGGGGAGCAAAGCCUCCUGGGCACUAUUUGGACAGAGAGAGACGGGCUUUCGAGUUUUGGUGGAGUUUGGACAGACCGAGCAUCUACUGCAGGUGGGUGGUCUAAAUAAUCUGCAGACAGUUUAACUCCUUGCAGUCUUGGGUCCUGGAAUAUGCCUAACAUUUCAAAAUCAGCUUGGUUCUGGAGGCACAAAGUUUAGAAUCAAAGAUGAUUUCAUUCAAACAAGGAGAAGCAGCUGAAGCCAAGUUCCCAGAGGGAGCUGUUUUUCCUCAGACUUCCUCUAUUCGACUUUCUUGAGCCAAAGAAAGUAUUUAAAUAAAUAACAAAGCCUACAUGUUUUAACUAGUGUG
This 772-nucleotide long non-coding RNA is filed under the name Sus scrofa (pig). Its description in RNAcentral is "lncRNA (ENSSSCG00060076938.1, ENSSSCG00070030548.1)". The record is from RNAcentral. Lineage: Eukaryota; Metazoa; Chordata; Mammalia; Artiodactyla; Suidae.